CUCGACUCUGUCGACUAAAGUUCUGGAUAGAAUUUGAUGAUGACAUUUUCUAUCUAUGUGUCUUGACCAAAUCACGUGCCAGCAGUCGCGGUAAUACGUGGAAGACUAGUGUUAUUCAUCUUUAAUGGGUUUAAAGGGUACCUAGACGGUAUAUUCAGCCCAAGAGGGUACUGAUUAAACUAGAGUUUUAUGCGAGGGGGUGUGUACUAGUGGAGUAGAGAUGAAAUUCAGUCAUACCAUUAUGAACAGGCAACGGCGAAAGCAACCCUUUAUGUAAAAACUGACGUUGAAGGACGAAGGCUCAGUACACCAACAGGAUUAGAUACCCUAGCAGUCUGAGCAGACAAUGAUGAGUGUCAUAGACAAGAAAGAUAUUUUGUCUAUAAAUGAAAGUGUAAGCAUUCCACCUCAAGAGUAAUGUGGCAACGCAGGAACUGAAAUCAUUAGACCGUUUCUGAAACCAGUAGUGAAGUAUGUUGUUUAAUUUGAUGGUCCUCAAAGAACCUUACCACAAUUUGUAUAUUUAUAUUAUUUAAAUACAAGAGUUGCACGGCUGUCUUCAGUUAAUGUUGUGAGAUUUUGGUUAGUUCCAGAAAAUUAACGUAAACCCUUACUUUAUUUAUAUAUGAAGUAGUUCGCCACUAUAUUGGAUAUGAUAAGAGGGAAUAAGACAAGCCUUCAUG
RNAcentral lists this ribosomal RNA (683 nucleotides) under Marfloraea pulvinata. RNAcentral's name for it is "mitochondrial SSU rRNA". It matches the Rfam family "Bacterial small subunit ribosomal RNA", at positions 430 to 1197 of the family's 1533-position model. Lineage: Eukaryota; Fungi; Ascomycota; Lecanoromycetes; Pertusariales; Pertusariaceae. The record is from RNAcentral.